RNAcentral lists this ribosomal RNA (253 nucleotides) under uncultured bacterium. Its description in RNAcentral is "partial 16S ribosomal RNA". It matches the Rfam family "Bacterial small subunit ribosomal RNA", at positions 524 to 776 of the family's 1533-position model. The record is from RNAcentral.
UACGUAGGGUGCAAGCGUUGUCCGGAAUUAUUGGGCGUAAAGAGCUCGUAGGCGGUUUGUCGCGUCUGCUGUGAAAACUCGGGGCUUAACCCCGGGCCUGCAGUGGGUACGGGCAGACUAGAGUGCGGUAGGGGAGACUGGAAUUCCUGGUGUAGCGGUGAAAUGCGCAGAUAUCAGGAGGAACACCGGUGGCGAAGGCGGGUCUCUGGGCCGUAACUGACGCUGAUGCGCGAAAGCCAGGGGAGCGAACGGG